GUGUCAGCAGCCGCGGUAAUACGGAGGAUCCAAGCGUUAUCCGGAUUCAUUGGGUUUAAAGGGUGCGUAGGCGGACUGAUAAGUCAGCGGUGAAAUCCCACGGCUCAACUGUGGAACUGCCGUUGAUACUGUUAGUCUUGAAUGCAGAUGAUGUGGGCGGAAUAUGACAUGUAGUGGUGAAAUACUUAGAUAUGUCAUAGAACACCGAUUGCGAAGGCAGCUCACAAAACUGUGAUUGACGCUGAUGCACGAAAGCGUGGGGAUCAAACAGGAUUAGAUACCCUCGUAGUCC
RNAcentral lists this ribosomal RNA (292 nucleotides) under uncultured bacterium. RNAcentral's name for it is "partial 16S ribosomal RNA". It matches the Rfam family "Bacterial small subunit ribosomal RNA", at positions 505 to 796 of the family's 1533-position model. The record is from RNAcentral.